RNA transcript from Pyrus x bretschneideri (Chinese white pear), 2420 nucleotides. It is a transcript of the gene named probable serine/threonine-protein kinase PBL15, with no coding region annotated. The transcript has 16 exons. Lineage: Eukaryota; Viridiplantae; Streptophyta; Magnoliopsida; Rosales; Rosaceae. The record is from RefSeq and is a predicted model, not a curated record.
UCCACAUGUUGACCAUCGUUACGUCUUCUAGCUUCUUCCCUUUGCUUUUCACUCUUUUUGCUUCUUUUGCUUUUCACUCUUUCUCCACUAAUUUCCGUUCGAUUGUUUUGCGUUUUGUGCUUUGGUGAGAUAUUUUAUUAGCCUAUGCUAUGUGUUCUGAUCAAGGACUGGAUUAGGUUUCUUAGUUAAGCAAAACUGGGCUCUUCCUUUUGCUUCCAAUACGUUCUUCCAACCCAGCCCCAAUUCUCUCUCGACAGUUUUCCAGGAAGCAAAACGUGAAUCCAUUCCCGGUUCUCCUGAUUCAAAGAAAUUUCUUUAAUUGGCUAAGAAUUGAAGCUGUUAUCUUUGCAUACAACUUCCUUGCUGUUGCUUUGGGGUGACGAUCUGAAGUGAAAGGCCUCAAAUUUACAACUAAUACAAAUAGCAAGUUUUAUUAUGACGGUUUUUCCAACAUCAUCAACUAUAUCAAUUAUGCACCAAGUCCCAAAAGGUCAUGUUGGGGUAUAUUGGAGAGGAUGCACUCUUCUGAAGACAAUUACAGAUCUAGGUUAUGUGCAUUGAGAAGUUGCUUGCAUAAGGCCUUAACUUUGCCUGCUUCUCAUUAUUUCAAAUUUCAGGUUUUCAUCUCCAGCUGCCUCUGGUCACCCAUUUUGAACCCAUUCAAGUGACCCUGCAGACUAAUCAGGUAAGAGAUAUUCCAUGUGGUACAAAAGGGUGUGUCAUGAUCAAUUUUGAGAAGAUUGAGAUGGUUGACAAAUUGGAUGAUGAAACCAUGGCAAUAGAACUUGGUCCACCUGAUUCUAAAGAGGCCCUAUAAGGAUGUUGAAAGAGCCCUAUUCCGAGCACAUGUCGAGGGUCAACUAAAGAAACUUGGUUGCAAUGCAAGUUGGAAACGCACAAAAGUUUGAUUGCGUCCAAUAGAAUUGCCAGAGAAGGUCAUCUCCAUUUCUUUCAAAAUCAGACUUCUUUUUGCACACAAAAACACUAGGAAAUGACAGUUAUGCCCUUUCGUUCCACCAGUCCGUCAUCGUGUGUGUUUUGCACAGUGAAUGACAGUUAUUCUAGAUCUUUCUUUGCUUUUUCACUUUCUUCUCUGGGAUACCUCGACUUCGUUGGUUUUUCGCCCUCCGUUUUUCUUCCGAUUUUUACCCAUUUUUUAUUCGAUUGAAAAUUGGUUUGGGCUGGUCUAAUCCAGCGUUUCCAGGAAACGGUGCCUUUGAAAAUUUGGGAUUCUCGAUUUCGAUUUUCCAAUCUCUCUGUGUUAAAGGUUUUUCUGGCUAAUGAAAUACCUUUGUCAUCUCUCUCCAGGAGGUUCCUGCUUAUUCUCGAACCUCGAGUGGUCAUAUGUAGAACCUACUUGGUUAUGCAUGCUCAAUCCAUUUUGUAUAUAAAAUGAUUAAGUCUAUGCAAUGUUUUUUUUUUUCUUUUUCAAAAAGGUAUUUCUUCAUGAUUGGGUAUUGCUGCUGACGACGACAAGAAGUUGCUGGUGGCGGAGUACAUGCAUCAUGAUACACUUGCCAAACAUCUCUUCAACUGGGAGAAUCAGACCUUUGAGUGAGCUAUGAGACUAAGAGUUGCUCUGAAAAUUGCCGAAGUAUUGGAUUACGGCAGUAUUGAAGGCCGCCCAUUGUACCAUGACUUAAAUUCAUAUAUGGUUCUCUUUGAUGAGGUGAUGUCUCCGAUUUCCUUUCCCAAAUUUGUUUAUUUAGUUUUUCAAUUUUUACAAGAAGUGAGAUAAUUUUGAUCACAUAUCAUUGUGGACCUUUUUUUGAUAAGUAGACAUUUUUUUGCUCUGUUAAGACUUUUUAUCUGACAACUACAUGGAUUUAUAUGAGAUCAAAGUGGUAAUUUCAUGGAUGGUGUUGCAAGAAUGGCAAUCCUCCGCCAUCGAGUUUUGGAUUGAUGAAAAACAGUAGGGAUGAAAAAAGUUACAGCACUAAUCUUGCACACACCUCCUGGAUAUCUAAGAAAUGAUGAGGCUGAAUCAAAGCGCAAGGCAAAACAUUGGCGUCAAUGGAAGAAAGAAACAAAAUCUGCAAAAGGGGCAACUGAAGUGAUGGAAAUUGGAGACAAAAUGAGAAAUUUGAUGCUUUUUAUCACAGUGGACAAGUCAUUACAAGCUAAUCAUACUGGUAAUAGAAAUUACUCUCUGCUUGGAUGCUUUUGAACAUGGAGAGAAAUUGAAUUUGUAUUUUAGAAUUAGCGUUCUUCUUGAUGUUCAACUGUUUGGAAAGGUUUUUUUUUCAAAUUGUAUUUCGAAUUAGUGUUCUUUUUUGGUUUCUACUAGUUAGUGUUCUUUUUUAUUUAGAACAAAAGGUCAGUAAUUUCCUUCCUGCAUUCCACAUGUAUGUAAAUAGUAUUGCCUAUUGUUAAUGAACAAUGAGACAUCAAUCACAUGUACUAACAUAGUAUUUCAGACA